CAAAGUAUAGCUUAAUCUAAAGCACUCCGCUUACACCGAAACCAUGUUUGUUCAAACCAAACUUCUUUGA
RNAcentral lists this transfer RNA (70 nucleotides) under Allobates amissibilis. RNAcentral describes it as "tRNA-Val". It matches the Rfam family "tRNA". Rfam says of the family: Transfer RNA (tRNA) molecules are approximately 80 nucleotides in length. Their secondary structure includes four short double-helical elements and three loops (D, anti-codon, and T loops). The record is from RNAcentral. Lineage: Eukaryota; Metazoa; Chordata; Amphibia; Anura; Aromobatidae.